GUUUCCGUACAUAUAAAGAAUGCCGAAAUCCGAGUUAUAACGAAUAAGUUAUGGCCCGUCGAAGUUUUAUGGCAAAACCGGCACGGCACCGGGAAGCGUAAAUAGUGAAUUUAUGAUAGAGCGAGAUUUAGCCUUAGCAAUCUAAACGAAAGUUGUAUAAUAUGUUAAACUAAGCGCGUUGAUAAAAAGAACGCCCAAAUCUGACUUCGUAUGAGGAAGUUAUGAUUUUUCUAAGAUUCGGCUUAGCAGUGCACGACCCGAAACUCGAAUUUUAGUUCGAGCGGUUUUUGGCUUACGCGACCUAAAUGAGAGUUGAAGAUCUCAUUAAUAGGAACUCAACGGUAAAAAGAUGGACGAAAACGGAGUUCGUAUGAAGGAGUUACGAAUUCUUCGCGGUCAUUUAACAGUCUAAACGCCUCCUACUGUUAAAUUUGAGACCGGUCGAAAAUUAGCCGAUGGAGUCUAAAUGAAAGUUGUAGAUAUUGAUUUUACCUACGCGUGGAUAUAAAGAACGUCGAAAACGGAGCUCGUAUGCGAGAGUUAUGAUUUUUCUAAGUUCGAAGGCUGAUACGCGAUAGGGGGUGACGUGGCACCACCAGAAUUGGACACGUGGCACCACCAGAAGGCCACCACAUGGACCAACUCGGCGAGUAGGUCCCCCUACUCGGCGAGUCCAUCAGAUAUUUUCACUAUAAAUAGAGGUGUCGGGUCUAGCCUUCUCUUCACACCUCCCAAACUCACUUUCUCUCUCUAGUUUCUCUCUCUAGCCUCCCUAACCCCCCUAAAAGCCUAGGUAAACCCCCUAGCACCCGAAGGAAGCCCCAAGGCUCCCGAAGUCUCGAGAAAAGAGCCUUUCGGCUCGGUAACGCUGCUCCAGCGAAACCCGAUUUUCGAGAAAAGCCGUUGUAAGUGAGCUAUACCUAACCUAACUUUAGUUUAGCUUAUGUCUUAAUAUAAUAACGUUAUUAGGAACUUAUAAUAAGUAAUUAGGCUAUUAUUAUGGGUUAUAUAAGUAUCGUUUAAUGCUUAUAUAAUAGUAAUAGUAGCUAGUCUAUUAAUUAGUCGCGGUGAAUAUUAGACUAAACCCUAGUGGCAAUGAUACUAGGUUUUGCCGAAGGAAAAGUGUGUUAAGAGUAACGAAGUGCUGUCCAAGCGCCGAGUCACCACCUACUCAGGUGAGUGCAUAGUUACUUUCAGCUUACACAUAGAUAUGAAGUAUUUUAUAUAAAUUACGUGCUAUGUGUGCAUAUUAUCUGAAUACUUGCUAUCUAUGCUGGAUGAACAUUGUUAUACAUGUUUUCAAUGAUUUAAACUGUAUAUGUAUUUUAUAUCUACGAAAAUGUUGGGGUAAAACAUGGGUAGAUGUAAUAGGUGAUGUGUGAUAAAAUGAUGAGAGGCCUCGAUGUUGAUGUUGUUGAUUCUGUCAUCUAGCGGAGUACGGAUGACGACCACGGACUCUUCUAGACAGUCCAGUGGAACACUAGCAGGCUCGCAACCUGUAGGUGUUUGUGAACGAUGUGUUCACCGGUGUACUCCAUCCCCCACAUGGUUGCCUUUAGGACAUUUAUUGCUGAGGAAUCCCCUUAGCAGUAGUGUCCGUCCCGAUGAUGAUCCUUAGGCUAGGUCCCUUAUGAUAGGUGUUUAGGGACGUAAAGUGAGGAUAACGGGAACGGGUAAUCGGGUUAUUGUUGAUUGAUGAAAUUAAUAAACUUAUUUAUUGUGGGUUGAAAACCCUAUGUGCUCACCAGGCUCCCAAGCCUGACCCACUCAGUUUGAUGUAUUACAGGUAGUGGCGCUUGAGCAUAGAUAUGAUGUUGGACUAGGGAUUACGGUUAUAGGCCUGUAGAUAUGAAAUAAUGUAGUAUGGAUUAUAUUGUACUGUUAAUGCUUUUGAUCUAUACGAACAUGACAUCCGAAGUCUUUUAAUGAAAUACAUUUCUAUGGAAAUGCCUUUGAUAAAUCUUUAUCAUAUUUUUUUUUGGGACAAAUUCCGCAACACUUUUAUUUAAAAUGUUACUCUGAUUUUUAAACAAAGCAUAAACAAACCGGUCUUUUCUGGCCGUGAUUUUGGGGAUGUCACAGUUGGUAUCAGAGCAUUAGUUUAAGCGAACUAGGAAUUUGUAGGAUUUCUAGACUUAAACUUAGAAUGCUAAGCGAUGAUUGUGAGGUGUGAGCACUAGCUUAUUUUAGGAAUUGUGCCUAAAAUGCUUUUAUGUGCUAAAUGCUUUGUGCAUGAUAUGCUGUUAAUUGUUCGGAUCUAUGGUCUGUUGCCGACCGGAUCUGGAAACCUUAUGUGUUUAGGAUUCUAAACGUACGACUACGAUAUUAGAACUAGCAUGUAAACGUUUCGGAGUGAUAAGGACGAUUAAAACGUCUAUCCUAAAUAAAGAUCUAAAUUCACCUUAUUCGGUGUAUAGAUCAAGAUGGCAAGGACCCGUAGCGGAAACGUGAACGCAAAUGGAGGUAGGAACCAACCCCCAGUGGUUCAGCAAAUACCUGUUGUUGAAGAAGUUGCACCUGAGCCAGUCACCAUGGCUGGAGUUCAAGCCAUGAUUCAGGCUAUGCUAGCUGAACAAAGGGAAGAAAUGAGACGGAUGCUCCACGAAAAUAGGGACGAACCUACCAUACAUGUUGAACCGACGGAGCCAGUUCCCGAGCCAUCUGAGGAAGGGAACUAUAGCCGCCAAGUGAGUCAAGUAGGGACUCAAGGUGAGCAAAAGGAUGGCCCAGAAGGGAGAAACAACAAGGAUGGGCGGAUGUACAAAAAUUUCUUGGGUGCGAAACCACCAAGUCUCUCAGGAAGCCCAAAGCCUGUUGAGAUUAUGGACUGGAUCUCCGAGAUGGAGAUGGUGUUUGAGAGCUGCGACUGCAGCGAGAAGCAGAAGACUGUCUUCGCUGUGAGACAAUUGAAAACUGGAGUCUUGAGCUGGUGGAAGCUAUUGGCAGAUACAAUGCCACGGGGAGAAGCUCUGAAAAUGUCAUGGGAUGAGUUCUUGGAACAACUGAAGGCGCAGUACUGUUCAGAGAUAGACCUGAUUGAUCUGAACAAUGAGUUCCAAAAUUUGAAGAAGGGGAGAAUGAGCAUCGAUGACUAUGCUGCUGCAUUUACGGAAAAGAUGAAGUUGUUUCCAUACCUAGUGCCAACCGAACUUUCCAAAAUUGAGAAAUUCGCAAACGGACUGCCGGCUGACUUUGGCCCAACAGUCAAGAUGGCAACCACUCUGAAAUCAGUUGUUCGAGCAGCUAAGAACGUGGAGACCCAACAAAAGGAAAGAGGUCUGGAGAGGGCUGAGGUUGGUGAGAAACGGAAGUUCGAUGGAUCCUCGAAGUCCAACAAGAAGAGUAGAUUCUCGAAGUCUGGUUCGAGAGGAGGAGGAUCAGAAGCGAAGUGGUGUGACAAGUGCAAGAAGAAGCACUCUGGGAAGUGUGAUGGAUGGGUCACUUUUUUCAAAUGCGGAAAGCCUGGGCACUAUGCUAAUGAAUGCACCCUUAACCAGAAAGACUGUUAUGGGUGUAAUGAAGAAGGAAACAUUUUGAAGGAUUGCCCGAAGAAGAAGGAGGCAGGAAGACCCAACAUACCACCGAAGCCGAAGGCAAGAGCCUUCCAGAUGACGCUCGAGGCUGCGAAGGAGGCAGCAGACGUCGCUUCAGGUACCUUUCUUGUAAAUGGUUUGCCUGCAAAUAUACUAUUUGAUUCCGGAGCCAACUACUCCUUUGUGUCGCAUAAAUUUGGUGGGAAAUUAGCAUUGCCUGUAGAAAAACUAGAUAAUGCCCUGAUUGUAGAAGUUGCCAGUGGCAAAUUCGUACCUGUUAGUAAUCGUAUUAGGAACAUCAUCAUUGACCUAAACGGAAACGAAUUCCACGAAGAGCUAUUACCCAUAGAGUUAAACGGUUUCGACAUCGUUUUGGGUAUGGAUUGGCUUAGCGCCAACGAUGCUGAGAUUCAAUGCCGAAAGAAAAUAGUAAGGGUAAACCCACCCGGAAAGGAAUCAUUUAUGGUGUACGGGGACAAACGCAGAGUGAAUUCUAGAAUCAUCUCCCUGAUGAAAGCCAGGAAAUGUUUGUCCAAAGGAUGUACAUCGUACUUGGCAUUCGUAAUCAAUGCUAAGAAAGAAAAGAAAGAGGUGCAGAAUAUACCGGUUGUGUGUGGUUAUCCGGAAGUCUUUCUCGAAGAUCUUCCCGGAUUACCACCUGAUAGACAAGUAGAGUUCCGUAUCGAGUUGUUACCAGGAACAACACCAAUAACGAAAGCACCUUACCGAUUAGCACCGACGGAGAUGAAGGAGCUCAUGACGCAACUUCAGGAGCUGUUGCACAACGGUUUCAUUCGACCUAGUUCAUCACCCAGAGGAGCUCCGGUGUUAUUCGUGAAAAAGAAGGACGGAAGUAUGAGAAUGUGUAUAGACUACCGAGAGCUGAAUAAGGCAACGAUGAAAAACAAGUAUCCGUUGCCGAGGAUUGAUGACCUAUUCCAUCAGCUGCACGGUUCGAGCUACUUCUCAAAGAUCGAUCUUAGGUCAGGAUAUCAUCAGCUGAAGGUGAGAGAGCAGGAUAUUGAGAAGACUGCAUUCAGAACAAGAUAUGGACACUACGAGUUCUUGGUUAUGUCAUUCGGGCUAACCAAUGCUCCAACAACAUUCAUGGAUUUGAUGAAUAGGGUUUGUAAGCCAUUCCUCGAUAAAUCUGUAAUAGUGUUCAUCGACGACAUUCUCAUCUACUCGAAAAGCCAGGAGGAGCAUGGCAAGCAUCUACGGGAAGUAUUAGAAGUGUUGAAGAAGGAGAAGCUUUUUGCAAAGUUCUCCAAAUGCGACUUUUGGAUACGGGAAGUCCAAUUCUUUGGUCAUGUUGUUAACCAGGAGGGAAUAAUGGUUGACCCCGCAAAGAUCGAGGCUGUAAUGAAGUGGGAACGUCUAAAGAGUCCCACGGAGAUCCGAAGCUUUCUGGGAUUAGCCGGAUAUUAUCGACGAUUUAUCCAAGGCUUUUCUUCAAUAGCUGCUCCAUUGACAGUGUUGACCCACAAAGGAGAUACGUAUACGUGGAGUGAGAAGCACGAUGAGGCAUUUGAGAAGCUAAAGAAGAAGUUAUGUGAAGCACUAAUACUUUCUCUACCCGAUGGAGUUGAAGACUUUGCGGUUUAUAGUGAUGCAUCUGGAGUCGGGUUGGGUUGUGUUCUGACCUAAAGAGAAAAGGUGAUAGCAUACAUAUCUCGAAAAUUGAAAGAGCACAAAAAGAGUUACCCCACUCAUGAUCUGGAGUUGGCAGUGGUAGUAUUUGCCUUAAAGAUAUGGAGGCAUUACCUCUAUGGCACGAAGUGCAAACUCUUCACUGAUCAUAAGAGUCUCCAAUAUCUCUUUAAUCAAAAGGAGUUGAACAUGAGGCAACGAUGCUGGGUAGAACUACUCAAGGACUACGACUGUGAGAUACUUUACCACCCAGGUAAAGCAAAUAUUGUUGCUGAUGCUCUCAGUCGGAAAGUCAACCUUGAAAGGAAAAGGCCAAGAGCGUUGAGAAUUGAAGUCGUCUCGACGAUUGUGGAAAGUAUCAGGAAAUCCCAAGAAGAAGCUUUAGAAAAGAAUGACCGAAAGGAAGAACGUUUGGGCAAAACUUUAGUGUUCGGUACAAACAGUCCAGGACUGAAGGUAUUCCAAGAUCGAAUUUGGGUACCUAAGACGGGAGGAAUAAGAGAUCUUCUGAUGGAAGAAGCACAUAAGACCAUGUACUCGAUUCAUCCCGGUAGCACUAAAAUGUAUAGGGACCUAAAACCCUACUACUGGUGGCCGACGAUGAAGCUCGAUGUUGCGAUGUAUGUGGCCGAGUGUGUAACAUGUGCAAGGGUUAAGGCACAACAUCAGAAACCGUAUGGGAGUUUGGAACCUUUACCCGUACCCAUGGGUAAAUGGGAAGACAUCACCAUGGAUUUUGUGACUAAACUGCCUAGGACGAAGAACGGUCACGACAUGAUUUGGAUAGUCAUGGAUCAUUUCACUAAGAGUGCACACUUCAUAGCAGCCAACGAGAAGUGGUCUAUGGAUAAGCUCGCAAAUGCUUACGUGAAAGAGAUAGUAAGACUUCACGGCGUUCCUCUUACAAUUGUAUCUGACCGUGAUAGUCAUUUCACGUCGAGGUUUUGGAGGAGUCUACAAGAGGAGUUGGGUACAAAGUUAUGUUUGAGUAAUGCUUACCAUCCGCAAACCGAUGGUCAGAGCGAAAGAAUAAUUCAGACACUAGAAGAUAUGCUGAGAGCAUGUACCCUCGAGUUCCAAGGGAACUAGGAAGAGCACUUACAUUUGGUAGAAUUCUCCUACAACAACAGCUUUCACUCGAGCAUCAAGAUGGCACCUUAUCAAGCCUUGUAUGGACAGAAGUGUCGUACGCCGUCUUGUUGGCUUGAAGCCGGAGAGAAGCAGUUUAUGGGUCCCGAGAUAGUCCAUGAGACUGUUGAGAAGUUGAAGGUGAUUAGGGAAAGGAUGUUAGCAGCUCAGGAUCGUCAGAAGGGCUAUGCUGACAAGAAAAGACGACCAAUGACCUUCAAAGUUGGGGAUUCGGUUUUGCUUAAAGUCUCACCGUGGAAGGGACUUACACGAUUCGGGAAACGAGGAAAGUUGAGUCCAAGGUUUAUUGGACCGUUCAAAGUUCUUCAGAGGAUAGGGAACCAAGCUUACAAGCUCGAAUUACCCGAAGAAAUCAUUGAUAACACCUUCCAUGUGUGUUAUUUAAGGAAGUUCACGNAAACAGGAAUCAAUCACCAGUGAUUGAGCAAAUACCUAUUGUAGUAGCCGCUCCUGAGCCAAUCACGAUGGUCGGAGUACAAGCGAUGAUCCAAAUGAUGUUGGAUCAUCAAAUGGAAGAAACCAGACAUUUUCUCCAACAAAAUCGAGAUGAAGCUACCGUACAAAACGACGAGCUUGAGUUAAACGAAGAGCAGUCUGAGGAUGGAAACUACAGUAGGACCGUUGGUCAAGAUGAUCCACUUGUGAUUAUGUAACGCCCGGGUUCUAGGGCUAAGCAUAUUUUUCAAUGUAAUAGUCUAGGUCAACUAUUGUAACUCUUUUUGAAGUAAUAAAGAUGAAAUAUUUGAGUAGUAUUUGAAUUAUGUGCAUUUAUGUGCUUAUAAUUUAAUUAUAAAUAAAGAAUAAAAAUAAGCAUCAAAAUUAAAGUGUGAGAUAAGCCUGAUAUCUCUACAUAAAGUUGUAGAAUAUGUCUUAAGGUUUCCGUACAUAUAAGAACGUCGAAAUCCGAGUUAUAACGAAGAAUUUAUGGCUCGUCGAAGUUUUACGGCAAAACCGGCACGACACCGGGAAGCAUAAAUAGUGAAUUUACGAUAGAGCAAGAUUUAGCCUUAGCAAUCUAAACGAAAGUUGUAGAAUAUGUUAAACUAAGAGCAUCGAUAAAAAGAACGCCCAAAUCUGACUUCGUAUGAGGAAGUUAUGAUUUUUCUAAGAUUCGGCUUAGCAGUGCACGACCCGAAACUCGAAUUUUAGUUCGAGCGGUUUUUGGCUUACGCGACCUAAAUGAGAGUUGAAGAUCUCAUUAAUAGGAACUCAACGGUAAAAAGAUGGAUGAAAACGGAGUUCGUAUGAAGGAGUUACGAAUUCUUCGCGGUCAUUUAACAGUCUAAACGCCUCCUACUGUUAAAUUUG
RNAcentral lists this long non-coding RNA (7640 nucleotides) under Lactuca sativa (garden lettuce). Its description in RNAcentral is "long non-coding RNA (LSAT_LNC004015)". The record is from RNAcentral. Lineage: Eukaryota; Viridiplantae; Streptophyta; Magnoliopsida; Asterales; Asteraceae.